Molecule: long non-coding RNA, 368 nt
Filed under: Bos taurus (domestic cattle)
Lineage: Eukaryota; Metazoa; Chordata; Mammalia; Artiodactyla; Bovidae
Description: long non-coding RNA NONBTAT009779
Source: RNAcentral
AGAACUACAUUGGUUAUUGAGAUUGAGAUGGUUAUUUGUUAUUGACUGAGAUGGUCAGAGAACACUGGCUCAUCACAUCCUAAAUUCAAUUCCCUCUAGUGCCCAAUACUUUUUCUGAAUAUUAGGAGUGAUCGCUAAAUUCAUACUGUAACAAUUUUUGCAAUCUAUAAAGAUGGCUACCCAAAAGAAACCAAGAAAAGAAUCUCAGGGGACUCUGAUUUCCGUAAGCUAUGGGGCAGGUUGUAGAUCAAUGUGGUAGAUGAGAGAAACUUAAUACAAAACUAACAGUAUUAGUCAGUACAGGAAAUCCAGCAACCAUUUCAACUGGUUUCAACGGCAAUUGUUGAGCUUAUAGAGGCUACUAGAAA